This 507-nucleotide ribosomal RNA is filed under the name uncultured bacterium. Its description in RNAcentral is "bacterial SSU rRNA". It matches the Rfam family "Bacterial small subunit ribosomal RNA", at positions 18 to 518 of the family's 1533-position model. The record is from RNAcentral.
CCUGGCUCAGGAUGAACGCUAGCGGCAGGCUAACACAUGCAAGUCGAGGGGCAGCGGGAUGUAGCAAUACAUUGCCGGCGACCGGCGGAUGGGUGCGUAACGCGUAUGCAACCUACCUUAUACAGGGGAAUAACCUUUCGAAAGGGAGACUAACACCCCAUGGUAUUGAUUUAAGGCAUCUUAGAUUAAUUAAAUAUUUAUAGGUAUAAGAUGGGCAUGCGUAUGAUUAGCUAGUUGGUAAGGUAACGGCUUACCAAGGCGACGAUCAUUAGGGGUUCUGAGAGGAAGGUCCCCCACACUGGUACUGAGACACGGACCAGACUCCUACGGGAGGCAGCAGUGAGGAAUAUUGGUCAAUGGGCGCAAGCCUGAACCAGCCAUGCCGCGUGCAAGGAAGACGGCCUUAUGGGUUGUAAACUGCUUUUACAUAAGACUAACCGUAUAUUUGCGAAUAUACCUGAAUGUAUUAUGAGAAUAAGGAUCGGCUAACUCCGUGCCAGCCGCCGC